GAUGAACGCUGGCGGCGUGCCUAAUACAUGCCAGUCGAGCGAACAGACGAGGAGCUUGCUCCUCUGACGUUAGCGGCGGACGGGUGAGUAACACGUGGAUAACCUACCUAUAAGACUGGGAUAACUUCGGGAAACCGGAGCUAAUACCGGAUAAUAUAUUGAACCGCAUGGUUCAAUAGUGAAAGACGGUUUUGCUGUCACUUAUAGAUGGAUCCGCGCCGCAUUAGCUAGUUGGUAAGGUAACGGCUUACCAAGGCGACGAUGCGUAGCCGACCUGAGAGGGUGAUCGGCCACACUGGAACUGAGACACGGUCCAGACUCCUACGGGAGGCAGCAGUAGGGAAUCUUCCGCAAUGGGCGAAAGCCUGACGGAGCAACGCCGCGUGAGUGAUGAAGGUCUUCGGAUCGUAAAACUCUGUUAUUAGGGAAGAACAAAUGUGUAAGUAACUAUGCACGUCUUGACAGUACCUAAUCAGAAAGCCACGGCUAACUACGUG
This 497-nucleotide ribosomal RNA is filed under the name uncultured bacterium. RNAcentral's name for it is "partial 16S ribosomal RNA". It matches the Rfam family "Bacterial small subunit ribosomal RNA", at positions 28 to 507 of the family's 1533-position model. The record is from RNAcentral.